GAAGGUAUGCGUUGGCGCCCACAGCAGUAAGCCACCCUUACAUUGCAAGCUUCUCUGCUUAUCGUGUUUCGCUCUCGAGCGCUUUUCGGUGGCAUCUUGCCAUCUUCUUCACAAGCGCUUCCUCUCCGGUUGCUGCACACACCUCUUGACCACGUCGUUCGCCCGCCUGCUUAUUCGAGCAGAUCAACCGCCUGCUUGCUUUCUUUUUUCUUUUUUUUUUGUUACGUUUUUGUACUCCCGCCGCCAUUCUCCAUGGCAUUUUCGCUACGCUCGCGCGCGGCGGCAGCGGUGCUGCCGCUGAUUCUCACCAUACUCGUCGGCUGCGUCCAGUGCUCCGGUUUCGCGACGGUGGGGGCGCACAACGACCGCUUGCCGCAGCCCAGCUGGAGCCGCACCUGCACCUCCCCGUACGAGGUGUGCUCCACCAUCGAGGUGUACCAGUACUGGGAGGAGAAGAAGAAUCGCUUGAGUUUCACUGUGGAUGCAAUGAUGAAAGACCCGAACGCGAAAAACGUGCUCACCGUGUGGAUGGUGGUGGAUGACGCCGACGUCAACAUGGCGAAGGACAUCUUCCGUGAAGGCAUUAACGUCGUCAUUGUGCACCCGCGCGGCUCAAAGCAAACACAAUCGUUUAUGACGUGCGCGAAUACCUCGAACCCCUACAACAGGCAGUGCUGGAUGUCUGAGGCAUGCGCGGCCGAGCUGGCGGCGGCAGCGAGCAGCACGAGCAACCCCCUUAACAUGUCGCACUACUCGGCGAAACAGGCAGCGCACGAUCUCGACUGGGCACUGCGCACCCUCGGCGAUGGCCGACCCAAUGUGGUGCUGGGCCAGGGCCUGAGCAGCAUGUUGGUUCUUCGUCUCCUUCAGUAUCACCAAGACACCAAGGCAGCAGUGAUACUGUUAGACUACGUGCACCCGGUCAUGUUCGACGUGUACAACUACUUUGGCGGCGGCAGCAUGGUCACUGCCCUGCAGCACCUCCUUGCCAUGUGUGAUGACCAGGCAGCGUGUGUCGGACGACUGGGCGCAGCGGAGGGGUCGUGGAACCGUCUGAUGACGGUCAUACAUAUGGCGAAAGAGGGAAAGCUCUCGUGCGCAUCGCGGCUAAAGUGGGCACCCCGCAGAGGCGGCAACGCCGCCUUUGCCGAUGAGCUGCGCGGGGUGCUGGCCCUCAUGCUGCGGUACCCUGUCUACCCCUUCCUCGCCAGCAACGCCGCUCUGUUGAACUUGAUCCCGUCGCUGCUUUACAGGGUUCAGCGCUGCAACAAAAAGGACGUUGCAGCGCUCAACAAGCUCUACGACUACUUGAGCGCCGCAAAGAACUACGAAUGCCCUGAAAGCGUCGCCCUGCAUAUGCACUGGCUCGUAAACGAAUUCCUCCAGGCGGCGCCGCCGGCCAACAUCCACUCGUUUCGCAGCAGCGCGGCGGCGAAGCAUCUGAUCCUGCCUUCCUUCCAUGCCAUGUCGGCGUUUCACAGCGCCGCUAAGAAGUUUCCGCGCAUCUCACGCAGCGCUGAGUCGAAGCAGCUCCCAGCCAAUGCCACGCAACCGAUCCUUCUGCUCAACGCCGACACCGACGCGCUGCUGCCCGGAGGUGCAGCCAGCCAGGUCGCCCUUGCCUUCCGCCAACUUGGAGACUCGGUGCAGCUGCGUCAGCUUCGAGGUAUCAUGAACCGUCCUUCCGCUGUGCUCACGCCGUGUUUGGUGAACAAUCUGAAGAUGUUCAGGGAUCAUGGCGUGUGGGCGGAUGAGGAUCAGUGCACGCUUGACGUCGCCCACAAGAUCGACUUCAUCAACGGUGCCACCGACAUCUACUACGGCACCAGCGACGCCUGGGACUUUGACAAGCCAAACUCUGACGAAACAAACGGCGGUCGUGACGACAACGAUGACGAGGGUGGCUUUCACUUUAAGUGGCGUUUCAUUGCCCGCGCGCUGCUCGCGCUGAUACUGCUUGGUGGCAUUGGCGCCGUCGGCUACUUUGCCCUCACCUAUCUUAAGGCGAACGGCCCCUUUCACUACAGCCGCGUCAGCGACAACUUUUACGAAAACCUGCACCAAUAGAGGUGAUAAUCGAGGACGCCUCGCUCGCUCUGUGUGCGUGUGUGUGUGUGCGGAGGCGUUGUGCGCACCUCUUUUCUCUGUGCCUGUGCUUUUCCUUUUAUUUUUGUUUUACAGCCCCUCCCCUCCUGUCUCUGGCUCUCCAUUCGUGAGCUUAUAUUAUUACGAUGUCUGCGCUGACGUGUCCCUCUCCCCGAACACGACGCCCGCCGGUCCUAUGUCCGCGCCUCUGCUUGUGCUUCCCUCAUAACCUACUAUGCAUGAGAGCAUUCUCUCUUCUCGAUGGCGAACGAUCUCAGCAAUAAAAAGAGGUCGUGGAACAGCACACGCGCUCAUCCCCUCCUCCCUCCCUCCCCUUUUUCCCCUCCCUUCCUGCACGGCUUUUGACCUUUUCGUUCUUUUCGAUGCGUGCAUGUACAGGCGUACGUGUGGGAUAGCGUCAGGCCGGGCCCACUCCUCUUGUG
Molecule: unclassified non-coding RNA, 2528 nt
Filed under: Leishmania donovani
Lineage: Eukaryota; Euglenozoa; Kinetoplastea; Trypanosomatida; Trypanosomatidae
Description: gene:LdHU3.32.4550(CDS-product:Alpha/beta_hydrola se_family_putative)
Source: RNAcentral